AUGAAUGUCAAGCUGCCAGCUUCUCCAACUCAGUGGUCGGAGCCGGGUUGGACGUCUCAACUCUGCGGAGUUGAGAAGGAGAAUUUUUCUUUUCUUCGGGAGAAUGCCAUAUGUCUAAUUUUAUUGAUACUUUUUCUUUUCUUUCGGGAGAAUGCCAUAUGUCUAAUUUUAUUGAUUUGGCAAUGUCAUUACAUCGUUCAGAAGGUCAUUCACAAGAAAAUCAGGGGGCUCAUCAACUCAAUUAUAGGAAACAUCAUUAUCAUAUGCAAAUUUAGCAAUAUUAGGAGCAGCUCUAUUGCCUUCCCUCAGGCAGUGUAA
This 318-nucleotide ribosomal RNA is filed under the name Triticum aestivum (bread wheat). RNAcentral's name for it is "partial small subunit ribosomal RNA". Lineage: Eukaryota; Viridiplantae; Streptophyta; Magnoliopsida; Poales; Poaceae. The record is from RNAcentral.